GAUGAACGCUGGCGGCGUGCCUAAUACAUGCAAGUCGAGCGAACAGACGAGGAGCUUGCUCCUCUGACGUUAGCGGCGGACGGGUGAGUAACACGUGGAUAACCUACCUAUAAGACUGGGAUAACUUCGGGAAACCGGAGCUAAUACCGGAUAAUAUAUUGAACCGCAUGGUUCAAUAGUGAAAGACGGUUUUGCUGUCACUUAUAGAUGGAUCCGCGCCGCAUUAGCUAGUUGGUAAGGUAACGGCUUACCAAGGCGACGAUGCGUAGCCGACCUGAGAGGGUGAUCGGCAACACUGGAACUGAGACACGGGCCAGACUCCUACGGGAGGCAGCAGUAGGGAAUCUUCCGCAAUGAGCGAAAGCUUGACGGAGCAACGCCGCGUGAGUGAUGAAGGUCUUCGGAUCGUAAAACUCUGUUAUUAGGGAAGAACAAAUGUGUAAGUAACUAUGCACGUCUUGACGGUACCUAAUCAGAAAGCCACGGCUAACUACGUG
Molecule: ribosomal RNA, 497 nt
Filed under: uncultured bacterium
Lineage: Bacteria
Description: partial 16S ribosomal RNA
Rfam family: Bacterial small subunit ribosomal RNA
Source: RNAcentral